GAUGAACGCUAGCUACAGGCUUAACACAUGCAAGUCGAGGGGAAACGACAUUGAAGCUUGCUUCGAUGGUCGUCGACCGGCGCACGGGUGAGUAACGCGUAUCCAACCUGCCUCUGACCAAGGGAUAACCCGUCGAAAGUCGGCCUAAUACCUUAUGCAGUCGUCGGAAGUCAUCUGAUGACGACGAAAGAUUUCAUCGGUGAGAGAUGGGGAUGCGUCUGAUUAGCUUGUUGGCGGGGUAACGGCCCACCAAGGCAACGAUCAGUAGGGGUUCUGAGAGGAAGGUCCCCCACAUUGGAACUGAGACACGGUCCAAACUCCUACGGGAGGCAGCAGUGAGGAAUAUUGGUCAAUGGGCGAGAGCCUGAACCAGCCAAGUAGCGUGCAGGAUGACGGCCCUAUGGGUUGUAAACUGCUUCUAUGCGGGGAUAAAGUGAGGGACGUGUCCUUCAUUGCAGGUACCGCAUGAAUAAGGACCGGCUAAUUCCGUG
RNAcentral lists this ribosomal RNA (491 nucleotides) under uncultured bacterium. RNAcentral's name for it is "partial 16S ribosomal RNA". It matches the Rfam family "Bacterial small subunit ribosomal RNA", at positions 28 to 507 of the family's 1533-position model. The record is from RNAcentral.